Long non-coding RNA from Oncorhynchus masou masou (cherry salmon), 858 nucleotides. RefSeq lists it as uncharacterized. NCBI's taxonomy places the organism in Eukaryota, Metazoa, Chordata, Actinopteri, Salmoniformes, Salmonidae. The transcript is spliced from 5 exons. The record is from RefSeq and is a predicted model, not a curated record.
CUGUUCAGUCUGUUUGUUUUCCAGGUGGCCAGGGACAAAACCAGGCUCCUCUGGUGGCCAGGGACAAAACCAGGCUCCUCUGGUGGCCAGGGACGACCAGGCUCUUCAGCAGUCUCGCUCCUCUGAUCGAGUGUCAGUCGCUGAAGUCGUUCUGUGACAGAAAGCAGCAGAGGUUCGAGUCACUAGGAGAGCCCGGAGAGCAGCUCGGCACAGAGCGAUCAGGUUGCAGGACCACCAGUACCCCUCUGACCCACACACUGUAUUCCACAUGGUAGGUCACUGUGGAAUAAACUCAGUCCAGCCGGCCCUUGGAUCUUGUUCCCGUCUUCUUUUUAAAUGGAAAAUUAGAUUUUCUGUUGUAUUCAGACCGAAACGGAUCACCCACAUUAUCUUUAUUUUGUGAGUCAGUUCUUGAAAACGAGGGAUUUGAAGACAAAUUUCAAAUAUAAUAUACAAAUAUUCAAAUAUAAUGUACAAAUAUAAUAUAUCUGUAAAUAUAUCCAGGGUGAAGCAGGGCAUCAGGUGUUCCUGGUAGGGUUGUGGUGUGAAAUGGUCACAGAGAGUUACUGUGUUAGUGGGCUUCGGGGAUGUACUUAGUCUCCCCACGUAGGAGCUACGGACCACAUGGAACCAAGAUCUGAGCCAGCAGCGACACUUCAUAAUCCACCUGAUUUUUCCAACCCGAGUGACGUCAGUGUAAAUAUGACUGUUCAAUUUCUAGGUCUGGCAGUAUGCAGGUAACAAUAUAUGGGAUUAAGUUGGAAUAAAGGGAUUUUUUUUCUUGUUAGUACAUUCUGGAUGUGGGUUCAUAACCAACCAAUGAACUCAUUUUUAAAUAUUUUUUUAUGAAACGACAAC